This is an RNA transcript of Ochotona curzoniae (black-lipped pika), 1504 nucleotides long. It is a transcript of the gene named SPT3 homolog, SAGA and STAGA complex component, with no coding region annotated. The record is from RefSeq and is a predicted model, not a curated record. The transcript is spliced from 12 exons. Lineage: Eukaryota; Metazoa; Chordata; Mammalia; Lagomorpha; Ochotonidae.
AGUCUCUACGGCCCCCGCCUCAGAGUCGGCACCCGCCAUCUUGCACCCCCCCCCCCCACACAGCCGAGUCACCUUUAUCCUUCCUAGAUCCCCCGCCAUCUCCCUUCCCUCCCCUUUUCAAUCCUGUCGCGGGCCGCCGCAGCAGAAACCGCGCCAUCUCUGCCCCCACAGUCUCCACGCGGGACGCGCAGCCGUGCCACAAGUGUUCUUAGAGCAGAGAUGAAUAAUACUGCAGCUAGCCCAAUGUCUACUGCCACCUCAAGUAGUGGAAGAAGUGCAGGGAAGUCUAUAAGCUUUGCAGCUGAAUUACAGAGCAUGAUGUUUUCUUUGGGUGAUGCCAGGAGGCCUCUUCAUGAAACAGUGAUUUUGGUAGAAGAUGUGGUGCAUACUCAGUUAACUAAUCUGCUACAGCAAGCUGCUGAAGUUUCUCAGCUGCGGGGAGCAAGAGUAAUUUCUCCUGAAGAUCUUCUCUUUUUGAUGCGCAAAGAUAAGAAAAAGCUUAAAAGACUGCUAAAAUACAUGUUUAUCCGAGACUACAAAUCAAGGAUUAUUAAAAGCAUAGAUGAGGAUGAUCUUCUGGAAGACAAAUUGAGUGGCAGCAGUAACAAAAGACAAAAAAUUGCUCAAGACUUCUUCAGCUCUAUUGACCAGACAGGAGAACUGAUGGCAAUGUUUGAAAAUGAUGAAAUUGAUGAAGUUAAACAAGAGAGAAUGGAGAGAGCAGAAAGACAAACUCGAGUUAUGGACUCAGUUCAAUAUGCAGAAUUCUGUGAAAGUCGACAUUUAAGUUUCUCCAAAAAAACUUCUAAAUUUCGAGACUGGUUGGACUGCAGCAGUAUGGAGAUCAAACCAACUAUUGUCGCUAUGGAACUGUUAGCGUAUUUAGCAUAUGAAACUGUGGCACAGUUAGUGGAUUUGGCUCUGCUCGUGAGACAGGACAUGGUAACCAAGGCAGGGGACCCCUUUAGCCAUGCCAUUUCUGCAACCUUCAUUCAGUAUCACAACUCUGCUGAGAGCACUGCGGCCUGUGGUGUUGAGGCUCACGGCGAUGCCAUCCAGCCCUGCCACAUCAGAGAAGCUGUGCGACGCUACGGCCACAAGAUUGGCCCCCUCGCCCCGUUCACAAGUGCCUACCGCAGGAGUGGGAUGCCGUUUCUAGCCUGCUGAUGGAACUGUGACUGUGCCUGCAACAACAGGAAAAGCAGUGUUGUACUAAGGAAUAAUCCAAGCCAAUUUAGUACUUCCUGUUGACUUCCUUGUCAUAUGUAUCAUAGAUGGUGACAGACCUGCUCUCAAAAUAAGCUUUUGUGGUUUAAUUCUGCAUUUUCUGGUGAGGACACCAACCCAUCAGUAGUUGAACAGUAAAACAAUUUAACUACACAGAAGACUGGUCUCUAAUAUCCCCGUUUCAACUUGCCACUGAGGGGAAGUCCCAGGUUGAAAUGGUAGGGGUAGCUUUUAAAUAAGAUAUAUCAAAGUAACUUUCAGUUGAGAGUAUCAAAGC